Molecule: long non-coding RNA, 341 nt
Organism: Mauremys reevesii (Reeves's turtle)
Lineage: Eukaryota; Metazoa; Chordata; Testudines; Geoemydidae
Exons: 3
Source: RefSeq, a predicted model, not a curated record
CGGCCGAAGACGGGACUCGGAGCAGUGCUGAUCCUCUUCCCUGCUAAAGAUCAAGUGGUGGAGCAACAUGAUAAGAAGAUUAAGACGAAAAUCUGCAGAUUUGCUGUUGGUUCCUGUAUCUAGUGUUGCCAGCUAAUGUCUUGAGAAAUCCAUUUAACCCAUAACUCUCAAGAGACAUCACUUUUGAGAUCAGCCUACCUCAAAGAAGAGCCUACAGGGGAAUCAUCAGCCAUGGCAUUGUUUAGUUUGUAAGCUCAAUGGGAGGCAGGGACCAUGUCAUCUUCUCUGAAUUGUACAGAGUACUGCUGGUACUGAACAAAUAAUAAAUAAAAAUAGUUACA